CAUGGGCAGGUUGAAGGUUGGGUAACACUAACUGGAGGACCGAACCGACUAAUGUUGAAAAAUUAGCGGAUGACCUGUGGCUGGGGGUGAAAGGCCAAUCAAACCGGGAGAUAGCUGGUUCUCCCCGAAAGCUAUUUAGGUAGCGCCUCGUGAAAUCAUCUCCGGGGGUAGAGCACUGUUUCGGCCAGGGGGCCAUCCCGGCUUACCAACCCGAUGCAAACUGCGAAUACCGGAGAAUGUUAUCACGGGAGACACACGGCGGGUGCUAACGUCCGUCGUGAAGAGGGAAACAACCCAGACCGCCAGCUAAGGUCCCAAAGUCAUGGUUAAGUGGGAAACGAUGUGGGAAGGCCCAGACAGCCAGGAUGUUGGCUUAGAAGCAGCCAUCAUUUAAAGAAAGCGUAAUAGCUCACUGGUCGAGUCGGCCUGCGCGGAAGAUGUAACGGGGCUAAACCAUGCACCGAAGCUGCGGCAGCGACACUGUGUGUUGUUGGGUAGGGGAGCGUUCUGUAAGCCUGCGAAGGUGGCCUGUGAGGGUUGCUGGAGGUAUCAGAAGUGCGAAUGCUGACAUAAGUAACGAUAAUGCGGGUGAAAAACCCGCACGCCGGAAGACCAAGGGUUCCUGUCCAACGUUAAUCGGGGCAGGGUGAGUCGACCCCUAAGGCGAGGCCGAAAGGCGUAGUCGAUGGGAAACAGGUUAAUAUUCCUGUACCUGGUGUUACUGCGAAGGGGGGACGGAGAAGGCUAUGUUGGCCGGGCGACGGUUGUCCCGGUUUAAGCGUGUAGGCUGGUUUUCCAGGCAAAUCCGGAAAAUCAAGGCUGAGGCGUGACGACGAGGCACUACGGUGCUGAAGCAACAAAUGCCCUGCUUCCAGGAAAAGCCUCUAAGCCUCAGGUAACAUCAGAUCGUACCCGAAACCGACACAGGUGGUCAGGUAGAGAAUACCAAGGCGCUUGAGAGAACCCGGGUGAAGGAACUAGGCAAAAUGGUGCCGUAACUUCGGGAGAAGGCACGCUGACACGUAGGUGAAGCGGUUUACCCGUGAAGCCGAAGUCAGUCGAAGAUACCAGCUGGCUGCAACUGUUUAUUAAAAACACAGCACUGUGCAAACACGAAAGUGGACGUAUACGGUGUGACGCCUGCCCGGUGCCGGAAGGUUAAUUGAUGGGGUCAGCGCAAGCGAAGCUCCUGAUCGAAGCCCCGGUAAACGGCGGCCGUAACUAUAACGGUCCUAAGGUAGCGAAAUUCCUUGUCGGGUAAGUUCCGACCUGCACGAAUGGCGUAAUGAUGGCCAGGCUGUCUCCACCCGGGACUCAGUGAAAUUGAACUCGCUGUGAAGAUGCAGUGUACCCGCGGCAAGACGGAAAGACCCCGUGAACCUUUACUAUAGCUUGACACUGAACACUGGUCCUUGAUGUGCAGGAUAGGUGGGAGGCUUUGAAGUGUGGACGCCAGUCUGCAUGGAGCCGUCCUUGAAAUACCACCCUUUAAUGGCUGGUGUUCUAACGUAGACCCGUGAACCGGGUUGCGGACAGUGUCUGGUGGGUAGUUUGACUGGGGCGGUCUCCUCCUAAAGCGUAACGGAGGAGCACGAAGGUUGGCUAAUCCUGGUCGGACAUCAGGAGGUUAGUGCAAUGGCAUAAGCCAGCUUGACUGCGAGCGUGACGGCGCGAGCAGGUGCGAAAGCAGGUCAUAGUGAUCCGGUGGUUCUGAAUGGAAGGGCCAUCGCUCAACGGAUAAAAGGUACUCCGGGGAUAACAGGCUGAUACCGCCCAAGAGUUCAUAUCGACGGCGGUGUUUGGCACCUCGAUGUCGGCUCAUCACAUCCUGGGGCUGAAGUAGGUCCCAAGGGUAUGGCUGUUCGCCAUUUAAAGUGGUACGCGAGCUGGGUUUAGAACGUCGUGAGACAGUUCGGUCCCUAUCUGCCGUGGGCGCUGGAGAACUGAGGGGGGCUGCUCCUAGUACGAGAGGACCGGAGUGGACGCAUCACUGGUGUUCGGGUUGUCAUGCCAAUGGCACUGCCCGGUAGCUAAAUGCGGAAGAGAUAAGUGCUGAAAGCAUCUAAGCACGAAACUUGCCCCGAGAUGAGUUCUCCCUGAGACUACAAGUCUCCUGAAGGAACGUUGAAGACGACGACGUUGAUAGGCCGGGUGUGUAAGCGCAGCGAUGCGUUGAGCUAACCGGUACUAAUGAACCGUGAGGCUUAACCUUACAACGCCGAAG
RNAcentral lists this ribosomal RNA (2224 nucleotides) under Salmonella enterica subsp. arizonae serovar 18:z4,z23:- str. CVM 43481. RNAcentral describes it as "bacterial LSU rRNA". It matches the Rfam family "Bacterial large subunit ribosomal RNA", at positions 735 to 2925 of the family's 2925-position model. Lineage: Bacteria; Pseudomonadati; Pseudomonadota; Gammaproteobacteria; Enterobacterales; Enterobacteriaceae. The record is from RNAcentral.